RNAcentral lists this ribosomal RNA (253 nucleotides) under uncultured bacterium. RNAcentral describes it as "partial 16S ribosomal RNA". It matches the Rfam family "Bacterial small subunit ribosomal RNA", at positions 524 to 776 of the family's 1533-position model. The record is from RNAcentral.
UACGGGGGGGGCAAGCGUUGUUCGGAAUUACUGGGCGUAAAGGGCUCGUAGGCGGCCAUCUAAGUCGGACGUGAAAUCCCUCGGCUUAACCUGGGAACUGCGUUUGAAACUACAAGGCUAGAGUGUGGCAGAGGGGGGUGGAAUUCCACGUGUAGCAGUGAAAUGCGUAGAGAUGUGGAGGAACACCGAUGGCGAAGGCAGCCCCCUGGGUUAACACUGACGCUCAGGCACGAAAGCGUGGGGAGCAAACAGG